RNAcentral lists this long non-coding RNA (1955 nucleotides) under Arabidopsis thaliana (thale cress). RNAcentral describes it as "ncRNA (AT1G20691)". The stretch from base 314 to 381 matches the Rfam family "Small nucleolar RNA snoR101". The record is from RNAcentral. Lineage: Eukaryota; Viridiplantae; Streptophyta; Magnoliopsida; Brassicales; Brassicaceae.
GCUGCGUCGGCCAUCCGGUUCGGUUUGGAUUUAUUAAUUUUGCUAGGGCUUCUGAUUUUAAAAUGUUCGGUUUGGGUGAAAUUGCUGUGGUAUAUAUGAGGAGCUCCUGCAUCGCCGCCAUAACUAAGGAUAACAUUUUGAUCUUUUUAUCGUCCAUGGAUCCUCUUGCUUUGCUUUGUAGUCUUUAUAUGUUUGUUCGAUUAGAUUAAGGUUUUUUGCCGUUUGUGUAGUGUUAUUGCUUGAAUUGAUUACAGUCUUUUCUGAGUUAGGAUUAGAUAACUUAUGGUGCAAAGAGAGAGGGAGAGCAAAUGAUGGGAUACACUUGAUCUCUGAACUUCACAGGUAAGUUCGCUUGUUGAUAACUACUGGUCUGCUGAUGCUCUCUUUCUCACACUCUCUGCUCCUGAUUGGGAUUUUUAUUAAUGAGAUUUGAUUAUGUAAGACGUUACUGUGAUUAAGUGUAGUAGAAUUUGAUGUGUAGUUUAAACAUUAGUAAUGAUUGAUUUUAUUAUAUAUGAAGUUAAUCAUAAUGCCUUGGAACAUGAUCUUUAGAAAAUGCAUCAAUAAUGUUUGGAUGAAAUGCUUAAUCCAUCUACCCCGCAAAGCUAAGGAUAAUGACCGGAUGGUUAGAUAGGAAAGGCGUUGGUCAUCAGAAGGUACAAGCACCUUUGUCUGCUCGUCAUCCUCAAUAGAGAAAAAGGAGGGCUUAAACUUGUAGAAGUCUUGGGACCAACAUUUGGCCGUCUCAAAAACUCCCCAACUGUCAGCUUCCAUGUCGUACACAUGAAGCUCAAUGUCACUAGAACGUAUCAUUUUCUCCCUCACCACUAGACACUUGCCGUCAUAUGCAACCACGUUCCAACAUUCAAGAUCUGAUUCCUCCAUUGAUACGUUCUUGAACUGGCUUGCGAGUGUCCACUUGUGAUACCCGAGUAGUGUGUAAACUGAGAUUGCUUUUUUCGUCCCUGAUAUCAAUGUCAGGAGAUUGGUCUCAUCGUUUGCUGCGAAAAGCACCUUCGUAUCCGGUGUUGGAUGGAAGCUACAAGGAAUCAGUCGUGCUUGCUCUGUCUCGGGAUUGAACGCUAUGAUGCUCCAGUCGUUUCUCAACCAGUGAAGAUUGCCAUCUACGUAAACAGGUUUCAUCCGCUUCUUGAGACCACUUUUGGAGCUGGUCGUGAGGGUCGUUUUCGAUAACCUCCAAGAAUCUCCGUCGCUGAUUUCAAAUCUGUACUUUGUUUCCAUCUCAAGUAUGCAGACGAUCUUGAAUAUCUUGGUGAUUCAACAUUGAUCUACCACGAAACCGACGCACAUCGCUCUCUCUGUACGAACAAGGGGACCAUCGGGGUCAUAAGGAUCAGCCUUUUCGACACCACCAACUAUGUGAGGCAGAAGCUUCGACCCAGAGUGAUCCACGAUUCGAAAUUUCUUUGUCAAGGGAUUUACGAUGAAGAAGUGACCAAUGUAUAGUAGGAGAAGGCCGGAGCAUGAGCCGAAAAUGUAACAUCGAUCGUUAAUGAACUCUGCUUUGUUUCCUAGUGACAUAUAAUCACAUGAAUAGACCAAAGGUUGGCAGAAGAUGAGAGAUUUGUUAGAGCUCCAAAUGUUAAUCAAAGUGGGUCUGACCCACGAAGGAUACUGAGGUCCAAAUCUUGGGUCAGUUAAAUACGAUUUGAAAGAUUUGUUUGUACAUCGUAUCAUUGCCAUAGCUUGGGGUUCUGAUCUGAAGAGAAUCAUGUCGAGAAGAUCCAAAGGUAAAUCAUCCAGGAGGAUCAUAGUUAUAUCAACGUGAGAACUUCCCCCUACGUCUGUUUUUGCUUGUCGUUGAUACGAAUAUAUUUGUUUGUUUCACUUGUUUACAGAUGAUGUUGUUAUAUAGAGAGGACAAAUUCUAACUUGAAAAAAAUAAAUAUGGAAUGAUCAAUGCAAGGAAAAUCUCACCAAUUUUAUUUAUUAAA